UGUGUGGUGUGUGACACCGUGUGUGUUGUGUUGAGGGGAAUGUGUGUGCGCCUGAGUGUAUGAGUGCGCUGUCUCUUUAAGAAAGCACUCAGGGUCAGGAGCCUGAAGGCUUGCAUUCAGACACAAGCAGCCGCCAGCAGCUCUGGACCCAGAGAGGCGGCAGCACACACAAUGAUUUCCCCUGUCCCGUCACCCCAGCUCAAUGAAAAUUGGGUGCUCGGGUGAGGGGGAUGCCCUGACA
Dermochelys coriacea (leatherback sea turtle) is the source of this 241-nucleotide long non-coding RNA. RefSeq lists it as uncharacterized. The transcript has 3 exons. Lineage: Eukaryota; Metazoa; Chordata; Testudines; Dermochelyidae. The record is from RefSeq and is a predicted model, not a curated record.